CACUUCUAAGGAAGGCAGCAGGCGCGCAAAUUACCCAAUCCUGACUCAGGGAGGUAGUGACAAGAAAUAACAAUAAACCGGCUUAUGCCGGUUUAAUUGGAAUGAGUACAAUUUAAACAUCUUAACGAGGAACAAUUGGAGGGCAAGUCUGGUGCCAGCAGCCGCGGUAAUUCCAGCUCCAAUAGCGUAUACUAAAGUUGUUGCAGUUAAAAAGCUCGUAGUUGGAUUUCUGUGGGGACGGAGCGGCCGGCCGCAACUCGCGGUUCGAGCUAGCGCUUUCCCUACAUCCUGCCGCGAACCGUGCUACCAUUAAUUUGGUGGCGCCGGGGAUCGGCUCGAUUACUUUGAGAAAAAUAGAGUGUUCAAAGCAGGCCACACGCCUUGAAUAAGUUAGCAUGGAAUAAUAACUAAGGACUUCGGUUCUAUUUUGUUGGUGUUCGGGACUGAAGUAAUGAUUGAUAGGGACAGUUGGGGCGGUCUGUAUUCCAAAGCGAGAGGUGAAAUUCUUAGACCUUCGGAAGACAAACAGCUGCGAAAGCGUUCCGCAAGGAUGUUCCCUUUGAUCAAGAACGAAAGUUGGGGGAUCGAAGACGAUCAGAUACCGUCGUAGUCUCAACUAUAAACUAUACCAGCUAGGGAUCGGCCAACGUUAUUUAAACCGACUUGGUCGGCACCUUAUGAGAAAUCAAAGCAUCUGGGUUCCGGGUGGAGUAUGGUCGCAAGGCUGAAACUUAAAGGAAUUGACGGAAGGGCACCACCAGCCGUGGAGCCUGUGGCUUAAUUUGACUCAACACGGGAAAACUUACCAGGUCCAGACAUAGUAAGGAUUGACAGAUUGAUAGCUCUUUCUUGAUUCUGUGGGUGGUGGUGCAUGGCCGUUCUUAGUUGGUGGAGUGAUUUGUCUGGUUAAUUCCGUUAACGAACGAGACCCCAGCCUGCUAAAUAGCGCGCGUGAGCUUUGCUCGCGGCGAGCUUCUUAGAGGGACUAUGAUGCGCGAUAGCACAUGGAAGUUUGGGGCAAUAACAGGUCUGUGAUGCCCUUAGAUGUUCUGGGCCGCACACGGGCUACACUGGCGCCUGCAACGAGCAUAUCAGCUGGCCCGAGAGGGUCUUGGCUAAUCUUUUGAACCGGCGCCGUGCUUGGGAUUGACCUUUGCAAUUGUUGGUCAUGCAACGAGGAAUGCCUUGUAAACGCGAGUCAUCAGCUCGCAUUGAAUACGUCCCUGCCCUUUGUACACACCGCCCGUCGCUCCUACCGAUGAAUGUUCCGAUGAAAUUUUCGGAGAGCACCUGUGAACUUGGCUCUGCCUUGCGAACGGGAGGCUCAAAGUCACUUAAAUCUGAACAUUUCGAGG
This 1355-nucleotide ribosomal RNA is filed under the name uncultured marine eukaryote. RNAcentral describes it as "SSU rRNA". It matches the Rfam family "Eukaryotic small subunit ribosomal RNA", at positions 411 to 1779 of the family's 1831-position model. The record is from RNAcentral.